RNAcentral lists this transfer RNA (84 nucleotides) under Candidatus Azambacteria bacterium. RNAcentral's name for it is "tRNA-Leu". It matches the Rfam family "tRNA". From Rfam's summary of the family: Transfer RNA (tRNA) molecules are approximately 80 nucleotides in length. Their secondary structure includes four short double-helical elements and three loops (D, anti-codon, and T loops). The record is from RNAcentral. Lineage: Bacteria; Candidatus Azamiibacteriota.
GCCCCUGUGGCGGAACCGGCAGACGCGCUAGCUUCAGGAGCUAGUGACCGCAAGGUCGUGGAGGUUCAAAUCCUCUCGGGGGCA